This 482-nucleotide ribosomal RNA is filed under the name uncultured bacterium. RNAcentral's name for it is "partial 16S ribosomal RNA". It matches the Rfam family "Bacterial small subunit ribosomal RNA", at positions 28 to 507 of the family's 1533-position model. The record is from RNAcentral.
GUUGAACGCUGGCGGCAUGCCUUACACAUGCAAGUCGAACGGUAACGGGCCUUCGGGUGCCGACGAGUGGCGAACGGGUGAGUAAUACAUCGGAACGUGCCCGAUCGUGGGGGAUAACGAGGCGAAAGCUUUGCUAAUACCGCAUACGAUCUACGGAUGAAAGCAGGGGACCGCAAGGCCUUGCGCGGACGGAGCGGCCGAUGGCAGAUUAGGUAGUUGGUGGGAUAAAAGCUUACCAAGCCGACGAUCUGUAGCUGGUCUGAGAGGAUGAUCAGCCACACUGGGACUGAGACACGGCCCAGACUCCUACGGGAGGCAGCAGUGGGGAAUUUUGGACAAUGGGCGCAAGCCUGAUCCAGCCAUGCCGCGUGCAGGAUGAAGGCCUUCGGGUUGUAAACUGCUUUUGUACGGAACGAAAAGCCUUCUUUUAAUACAGGAGGGUCAUGACGGUACCGUAAGAAUAAGCACCGGCUAACUACGUG